UGUUUCGGCUAGGGGGCCAUCCCGGCUUACCAACCCGAUGCAAACUGCGAAUACCGGAGAAUGUUAUCACGGGAGACACACGGCGGGUGCUAACGUCCGUCGUGAAGAGGGAAACAACCCAGACCGCCAGCUAAGGUCCCAAAGUCAUGGUUAAGUGGGAAACGAUGUGGGAAGGCCCAGACAGCCAGGAUGUUGGCUUAGAAGCAGCCAUCAUUUAAAGAAAGCGUAAUAGCUCACUGGUCGAGUCGGCCUGCGCGGAAGAUGUAACGGGGCUAAACCAUGCACCGAAGCUGCGGCAGCGACGCUUAUGCGUUGUUGGGUAGGGGAGCGUUCUGUAAGCCGUUGAAGGUGGCCUGUGAGGGUUGCUGGAGGUAUCAGAAGUGCGAAUGCUGACAUAAGUAACGAUAAAGCGGGUGAAAAGCCCGCUCGCCGGAAGACCAAGGGUUCCUGUCCAACGUUAAUCGGGGCAGGGUGAGUCGACCCCUAAGGCGAGGCCGAAAGGCGUAGUCGAUGGGAAACAGGUUAAUAUUCCUGUACUUGGUGUUACUGCGAAGGGGGGACGGAGAAGGCUAUGUCGGCCGGGCGACGGUUGUCCCGGUUUAAGCGUGUAGGUGUGUGCUCCAGGCAAAUCCGGUGCACUUUAACACUGAGGCGUGAUGACGAGGCACUACGGUGCUGAAGUGACAAAUGCCCUGCUUCCAGGAAAA
RNAcentral lists this ribosomal RNA (707 nucleotides) under Citrobacter koseri. RNAcentral describes it as "partial 23S ribosomal RNA". It matches the Rfam family "Bacterial large subunit ribosomal RNA", at positions 911 to 1616 of the family's 2925-position model. Lineage: Bacteria; Pseudomonadati; Pseudomonadota; Gammaproteobacteria; Enterobacterales; Enterobacteriaceae. The record is from RNAcentral.